UACAGAGGUCUCAAGCGUUGUUCGGAUUCAUUGGGCGUAAAGGGUGUGUAGGUGGCGCCGUAAGUCGGGUGUGAAAUCUCGGAGCUUAACUCCGAAACUGCAUUCGAUACUGCCGUGCUUGAGGACUGGAGAGGAGACUGGAAUUUACGGUGUAGCAGUGAAAUGCGUAGAGAUCGUAAGGAAGACCAGUGGCGAAGGCGAGUUUCUGGACAGUAACUGACGCUGAGGCACGAAGGCCAGGGGAGCAAACGGG
This 253-nucleotide ribosomal RNA is filed under the name uncultured bacterium. Its description in RNAcentral is "partial 16S ribosomal RNA". It matches the Rfam family "Bacterial small subunit ribosomal RNA", at positions 524 to 776 of the family's 1533-position model. The record is from RNAcentral.